RNAcentral lists this ribosomal RNA (468 nucleotides) under uncultured bacterium. RNAcentral describes it as "partial 16S ribosomal RNA". It matches the Rfam family "Bacterial small subunit ribosomal RNA", at positions 28 to 507 of the family's 1533-position model. The record is from RNAcentral.
GACGAACGCUGGCGGCGUGCUUAACACAUGCAAGUCGAACGGAAAGGCCCUGCUUUUGUGGGGUGCUCGAGUGGCGAACGGGUGAGUAACACGUGAGUAACCUGCCCUUGACUUUGGGAUAACUUCAGGAAACUGGGGCUAAUACCGGAUAGGAGCUCCUGCUGCAUGGUGGGGGUUGGAAAGUUUCGGCGGUUGGGGAUGGACUCGCGGCUUAUCAGCUUGUUGGUGGGGUAGUGGCUUACCAAGGCUUUGACGGGUAGCCGGCCUGAGAGGGUGACCGGCCACAUUGGGACUGAGAUACGGCCCAGACUCCUACGGGAGGCAGCAGUGGGGAAUAUUGCACAGUGGGCGGAAGCCUGAUGCAGCAACGCCGCGUGCGGGAUGACGGCCUUCGGGUUGUAAACCGCUUUCGCCUGAGACGAAGCGUGAGUGACGGUAAUGGGUAAAGAAGCACCGGCUAACUACGUG